AGUGAACGCUGGCGGUAUGCCUAACACAUGCAAGUCGAACGGCAGCACAGUAAGAUUUUGCUCUUACGGUUGGCGACUGGCGGACGGGUGACGAAUACAUCGCAAUCUACUUUUUCUUGGAUAAUUACGGCAGAACACUUAUGCUAAUACCUCAUACGUCCUACGGCUUAAAUCAGUGGAUCUUGAGACCUUGCGUGUUUCUUUUAGCUGAGGUCGGAUUAGCUAGUUGGCGGGGUAAAGGCCCACCAAGGCGACGAUCCGUAGCUGGUCUGAGAGGAUGAUCAGCCACACUGGAACUGAGACACGGUCCAGACUCCUACGGGAGGCAGCAGUGGGGAAUAUUGGACAAUGGGCGCAAGCCUGAUCCAGCCAUACCGCGUGGGUGAAGAAGGCCUUCGGGUUGUAAAGCCCUUUUGUUGGGAAAGAAAAGCAGCAGGUUAAUACCCCGCUGUUCUGACGGUACCCAAAGAAUAAGCACCGGCUAACUUCGUG
Molecule: ribosomal RNA, 492 nt
Filed under: uncultured bacterium
Lineage: Bacteria
Description: partial 16S ribosomal RNA
Rfam family: Bacterial small subunit ribosomal RNA
Source: RNAcentral